UGCAGGGCGCUGCUAUACUGCAGUCGACGCUUCUUUUUCAUCCAACUUCGGUUCACCGAAAAAGAAGAGUGGGGAACGGGUGAGUAACACGUGGGUAACCUACCCAUCAGCGGGGGAUAACACUUGGAAACAGGUGCUAAUACCGCAUAAUCUUUUUCUCCGCCUGGAGAGAAAGUGAAAGGCGCUUUUGCGUCACUGAUGGAUGGACCCGCGCUGCAUUAGCUAGUUGGUGAGGUAACGGCUCACCAAGGCCACGAUGCAUAGCCGACCUGAGAGGGUGAUCGGCCACACUGGGACUGACACACGGCCCACACUCCUACGGGAGGCAGCAGUAGGGAAUCUUCGGCAAUGGACGAAAGUCUGACCGAGCAACGCCGCGUGAGUGAAGAAGGUUUUCGGAUCGUAAAACUCUGUUGUUAGAGAAGAAUAAGGAUGAGAGUAAAAAGUUCAUCCCUUGACGGUAUCUAACCAGAAAGCCACGGCUAACUACGUGCCAGCAGCCGCGGUAAUACGUAGGUGGCAAGCGUUGUCCGGAUUUAUUGGGCGUAAAGCGAGCGCAGGCGGUUUCUUAGUCUGAUGUGAAGCCCCCGGCUUACCGGGGAGGGUCAUUGGAAACUGAGGAACUUGAGUGCUAAGAAGAAGUGGAAUUCCUGUGUAGCGGUGAAUGCGUAGAUUAUGGAGGAACCCAGUGGCGAAGCGACUCUCUGGUCUGUACUGACUCUGAGGCUCGAAGCGUGGGGAGCAACAGGAUUAGAUACCCUGGUAGUCACGCCGUAACGAUGAUGCUAAUGUUGAGGGUUCCGCCUUCAUGCUGCACUAACCAUUAACACUCGCCUGGGAGUAGGUCGCAGACUGAACUCAAGGAUUGACGGGGCCGCACAACGGGGAGCAGUGG
RNAcentral lists this ribosomal RNA (895 nucleotides) under Enterococcus aquimarinus. Its description in RNAcentral is "bacterial SSU rRNA". It matches the Rfam family "Bacterial small subunit ribosomal RNA", at positions 38 to 940 of the family's 1533-position model. Lineage: Bacteria; Bacillati; Bacillota; Bacilli; Lactobacillales; Enterococcaceae. The record is from RNAcentral.